AGUGAACGCUGGCGGUAGGCCUAACACAUGCAAGUCGAACGGCAGCACAGUAAGAGCUUGCUCUUACGGGUGGCGAGUGGCGGACGGGUGAGGAAUACAUCGGAAUCUACUUUUUCGUGGGGGAUAACGUAGGGAAACUUACGCUAAUACCGCAUACGACCUACGGGUGAAAGCAGGGGAUCUUCGGACCUUGCGCGAUUGAAUGAGCCGAUGUCGGAUUAGCUAGUUGGCGGGGUAAAGGCCCACCAAGGCGACGAUCCGUAGCUGGUCUGAGAGGAUGAUCGGCCACACUGGAACUGAGACACGGUCCAGCCUCCGCCGGGAGGCAGCAGUGGGGAAUUUUGGACAAGGGGCGCAAGCCUGACCCAGCCAUACCGCGGGGGUAAAGAAGGCUUUCGGGUUGUAAACCCCUUUUGUUGGGAAAAAAAAGCAGCAGGUUAAUCCCCCGUUUUUCUGACGGUACCCAAAAAAUAAGCCCCGGCUAAUUUCGUG
RNAcentral lists this ribosomal RNA (492 nucleotides) under uncultured bacterium. RNAcentral's name for it is "partial 16S ribosomal RNA". It matches the Rfam family "Bacterial small subunit ribosomal RNA", at positions 29 to 507 of the family's 1533-position model. The record is from RNAcentral.